Molecule: microRNA precursor, 62 nt
Filed under: Callithrix jacchus (white-tufted-ear marmoset)
Lineage: Eukaryota; Metazoa; Chordata; Mammalia; Primates; Cebidae
Also listed under: 1 other name
Description: Cja-Mir-34-P3c_pre stem-loop
Rfam family: mir-449 microRNA precursor family
Source: RNAcentral
UGGCAGUGUAUUGUUAGCUGGUUGAAUAUGUGAAUGGCAUCAGCUAACAUGCAACUGCUGUC